Molecule: ribosomal RNA, 320 nt
Filed under: uncultured eukaryote
Lineage: Eukaryota
Description: partial 18S ribosomal RNA
Rfam family: Eukaryotic small subunit ribosomal RNA
Source: RNAcentral
CCCCUAGAUGCUCUGGGCCGCACGCGCGCUACACUGAACAGUUCAACAAGUCUUAACCUUGGCCGAUAGGUCUGGGUAAUCUUUGAACGCUGUUCGUGAUUGGGAUAGACCUUUGCAAUUAUGGGUCUUCAACGAGGAAUUCCUAGUAAACGCAAGUCAUCAGCUUGCAUUGAUUACGUCCCUGCCCUUUGUACACACCGCCCGUCGCACCUACCGAUUGAAUGGUCCGGUGAAAUCUCGGGACGGCGGCUUGGUCGCUUGCGUCCGACUGCUGAAACUUGAUUAAACCAUAUCAUUUAGAGGAAGGUGAAGUCGUAACA